ACCCUGACCGCUGACGAACAAGUCUGGCGACAACAGCGCCAAAUUCUCCCUCAACGUCGGACCUCCCCAGGCUCCGGUGACAUCGCUCCGGAGUUCUCCUCUGACCCUAAGAUCUACGCCAACGCUGACAACAGCCUCAUCACCCUGGAAUGUCAGGUGAAGAGCAAGCCAGACCCAACCUCGGCCUGGAACCAGGAAGAGAAGGAGGUCAAGGAAGAUAGCAGGAAGAAGUUCGUCGUCUCGUCCCUAGGCGACAACAAAUUCGCCAUCAAGCUCGAGAUCAAGAACCCCCAGGCAGCCGACGGAGGAAAGUACAAGUGCACGGCCAAGAACAAGUACGGAUCGUGCUACGCCUACCUGAGCUUGAAGUUCUAAGCGGUGUCGAGGGCGACAGACGCAUUUGCAGAGCCACCUAGGACACCGUCGCGUCGUCGUAGUCGCGCCGCCACAGCGACGCAUCCAUUCUUCAAUCAGCGCCCUCAUUCCGUAAACAAUCGGAGAGAUCCUGCCUGUAGGUGGCGCUGACGACCGCGUGCGAUGCGUCGAUAGAUGGCGCCGCGCGACUUAGACUGUCGCCUCGGUGUCACCGCGAGCGGUUUCUCGCAUCUGCUAGAUGCUCGAGCCUGAACGAUGUACAGUAUUUAUAUAUAUAUAUUUAUAUAUCAACAAACACCAUGCCGUCCAAAAAAUUCUCAGCGGAGACAGACCGCAACGACAUCGGGCCGCGCCUACAGGCCGCACGCGCGCGCAGAGGCAGCGCCACCUAUAUGUCAGACUCGCUCUCGCUUCGGUCGUAAACUUGUUUUGUGGCGUCUCAUCGUUGGGCAGGCGAGGCGCCUCAUGUAGUGCUGCAUCUAUCGUCAACCGUUCGUUACAUUUUCCUUCACACGUUCUGUUCAUUCAUAUGAUUAUACUCUUGCCGACUUUGAAACGCGGCUCUCUCUGCAGCUUUAUUGUUCGUAGCUGUCUAGGCGAGUGAUGCGAAGAGCAAGACGCAAAUGUUCACGAAAUAAAUUCUAAUACAACUGCC
Molecule: long non-coding RNA, 1030 nt
Organism: Priapulus caudatus
Lineage: Eukaryota; Metazoa; Priapulida; Priapulimorpha; Priapulimorphida; Priapulidae
Exons: 4
Source: RefSeq, a predicted model, not a curated record